GCCAGUAUGGCACAGUAGUUUGAGCGUUGGACUACGGCUCCAGCGAGUAGGGUUCGAAUCCUGGCUUGGCU
Non-coding RNA from Phrynosoma platyrhinos (Desert horned lizard), 71 nucleotides. Lineage: Eukaryota; Metazoa; Chordata; Lepidosauria; Squamata; Phrynosomatidae. The record is from the annotation of a GenBank genome assembly.